Molecule: ribosomal RNA, 517 nt
Filed under: Escherichia coli
Lineage: Bacteria; Pseudomonadati; Pseudomonadota; Gammaproteobacteria; Enterobacterales; Enterobacteriaceae
Also listed under: 1 other name
Description: bacterial SSU rRNA
Rfam family: Bacterial small subunit ribosomal RNA
Source: RNAcentral
GAGGGGGAUAACUACUGGAAACGGUAGCUAAUACCGCAUAACGUCGCAAGACCAAAGAGGGGGACCUUCGGGCCUCUUGCCAUCGGAUGUGCCCAGAUGGGAUUAGCUAGUAGGUGGGGUAACGGCUCACCUAGGCGACGAUCCCUAGCUGGUCUGAGAGGAUGACCAGCCACACUGGAACUGAGACACGGUCCAGACUCCUACGGGAGGCAGCAGUGGGGAAUAUUGCACAAUGGGCGCAAGCCUGAUGCAGCCAUGCCGCGUGUAUGAAGAAGGCCUUCGGGUUGUAAAGUACUUUCAGCGGGGAGGAAGGGAGUAAAGUUAAUACCUUUGCUCAUUGACGUUACCCGCAGAAGAAGCACCGGCUAACUCCGUGCCAGCAGCCGCGGUAAUACGGAGGGUGCAAGCGUUAAUCGGAAUUACUGGGCGUAAAGCGCACGCAGGCGGUUUGUUAAGUCAGAUGUGAAAUCCCCGGGCUCAACCUGGGAACUGCAUCUGAUACUGGCAAGCUUGAGUC